AUUGCCCUAGUAACGGCGAGUGAAGCGGCAACAGCUCAAAUUUGAAAUCUGGCCUCGGCCCGAGUUGUAAUUUGCAGAGGAUGUUUCUGGCGCGGUGCCUUCCGAGUUCCCUGGAACGGGACGCCAAAGAGGGUGAGAGCCCCGUAUGGUUGGACACCAAGCCUGUGUGAAACUCCUUCGACGAGUCGAGUAGUUUGGGAAUGCUGCUCUAAAUGGGAGGUAAAUCUCUUCUAAAGCUAAAUACCGGCCAGAGACCGAUAGCGCACAAGUAGAGUGAUCGAAAGAUGAAAAGCACCUUGAAAAGGGGGUUAAAUAGUACGUGAAAUUGUUGAAAGGGAAGCACUUAUGACCAGACUUGGGCCGGGCGGCUCAUCAGGGGUUCUCCCCUGUGCACUCCGCCCGGCACAGGCCAGCAUCGGUUUUCGCGGGGGGAUAAGACCGUCAGGAACGUAGCACCCUCCGGGGUGUGUUAUAGCCUGGCGGACGAUACCCUCGCGGGGACCGAGGUUCGCGCUCCGCAAGGAUGCUGGCGUAAUGGUCAUCAGUGACCCGUCUUGAAACACGGACCAAGGAGUCGUCCAUUAGAGCGAGCGUUUGGGUGUAAAACCCGCACGCGUAAUGAAAGUGAACGCAGGUGAGAGCUUCGGCGCAUCAUCGACCGAUCCUGAUGUUCUCGGAAGGAUUUGAGUAAGAGUUUUAACGGACGGACCCGAAAGACAGUGAACUAUGCUUGUAUAGGGUGAAGCCAGAGGAAACUCUGGUGGAGGCUCGCAGCGGUUCUGACGUGCAAAUCGAUCGUCAAAUAUGAGC
RNAcentral lists this ribosomal RNA (810 nucleotides) under Diaporthe ambigua. RNAcentral's name for it is "LSU rRNA". It matches the Rfam family "Eukaryotic large subunit ribosomal RNA", at positions 74 to 916 of the family's 3401-position model. The record is from RNAcentral. Lineage: Eukaryota; Fungi; Ascomycota; Sordariomycetes; Diaporthales; Diaporthaceae.